This 411-nucleotide ribosomal RNA is filed under the name uncultured bacterium. Its description in RNAcentral is "bacterial SSU rRNA". It matches the Rfam family "Bacterial small subunit ribosomal RNA", at positions 29 to 429 of the family's 1533-position model. The record is from RNAcentral.
AGCGAACGUUAGCGGCGCGCCUAACACAUGCAAGUCGCACGAGAAAGGGAGCAAUCCCCGGUACAGUGGCGCACGGGUGAGUAACACGUAGAUGACCUUCCCUGGAGUGGUGGAUAACCUGCCGAAAGGCGGGCUAAUACAGCAUGGGACCACAUGGUUUUGACCGAGUGGUGAAAGCGGGCCUCUGUUCACAAGCUCGCGCUCUGGGAUGGGUCUGCGUCCCAUCAGCUAGUUGGUGAGGUAAUGGCUCACCAAGGCGUCGACGGGUAGUUGGUCUGAGAGGAUGACCAGCCACACCGGAACUGAGACACGGUCCAGACUCCUACGGGAGGCAGCAGUGGGGAAUCUUGCGCAAUGGGCGAAAGCCUGACGCAGCGACGCCGCGUGGGUGAUGAAGGCCUCGGUUGUAAG